ACUCCUGCGGGAGGCAGCAGUGGGGAAUAUUGGACAAUGGGCGCAAGCCUGAUCCAGCCAUGCCGCGUGAGUGAUGAAGGCCCUAGGGUUGUAAAGCUCUUUCACCGGUGAAGAUAAUGACGGUAACCGGAGAAGAAGCCCCGGCUAACUUCGUGCCAGCAGCCGCGGUAAUACGAAGGGGGCUAGCGUUGUUCGGAUUUACUGGGCGUAAAGCGCACGUAGGCGGACUAUUAAGUCAGGGGUGAAAUCCCGGGGCUCAACCCCGGAACUGCCUUUGAUACUGGUAGUCUUGAGUUCGAGAGAGGUGAGUGGAAUUCCGAGUGUAGAGGUGAAAUUCGUAGAUAUUCGGAGGAACACCAGUGGCGAAGGCGGCUCACUGGCUCGAUACUGACGCUGAGGUGCGAAAGCGUGGGGAGCAAACAGGAUUAGAAACCCUAGUAGUCC
RNAcentral lists this ribosomal RNA (444 nucleotides) under uncultured organism. RNAcentral's name for it is "partial 16S ribosomal RNA". It matches the Rfam family "Bacterial small subunit ribosomal RNA", at positions 335 to 796 of the family's 1533-position model. The record is from RNAcentral.